This 1112-nucleotide long non-coding RNA is filed under the name Setaria italica (foxtail millet). Its description in RNAcentral is "long non-coding RNA (SITA_LNC001770)". The record is from RNAcentral. Lineage: Eukaryota; Viridiplantae; Streptophyta; Magnoliopsida; Poales; Poaceae.
AUGAAUCAACAGCAGGAGAAAGGCCACCUAGAGUUUCUCUCUGGGAAAUUGAGCCAUUGACAACCUUUCCAAUGUAUCCAUCCCUGUUCCCACUGCGAGUUAAGCAUCCUUGGUAUUCUGGAGUUGCUGCUCUUCAUGGUACGCUUCAGAUACUCAUGCUUGUUUCUUGAAGGAAUACUCAUGCUUGUUACUAUGACUCUGAAUCCAGCAUCUCUUUUGUUGGAAUUAUUUUCCUGCAUUUUUGCUAUUAGUGUCACUGUCACACCAGUAGCAUUGCAGGAGUUGGCAUUCUUAGCAUUUACCUUCUAAUGGGUUUUGCCCAGUAUGAAUGCAAGUUAGUUAUUCGUAAUUGGAGCUGUUAGAUCAAACCAUUGAUGGAAACUAGCAGUAAAACUAUAAUACAACUGAGAGGUGGAUAUAUUCUAAGCAUAUAUACCAAAUUCCCAGCAUUGAAGCACCAUGACAUGAUAGACCAACGUUAUUUCACUUAUUUGCUGAAGCCCUUCAUUUAUAUUUUAUACAAAUUGUGUCAUUACGGUCCUUGCUAUUCCUUCUCAUUAUGGUUUUAUUGAUUGUCAUAUUACACUUAAGAUGACAGCAAUGCUUUGAUGUGGCUGAGAGGAGUUGCUGGUGAAGGAGGCUUCCAGUCUUUCAACUUCCAGUCACCUGGUAUAGGUUCCUGGGGACAACAGCGACUCCAUCCAUCCUUACUUAGCAAUGACCACGAUCAGUAUCAAGCAGUGGUUGCUGCUGCAGCUGCUUCCCAGUCCGGUGGUUAUCUGAAGCAGCAAUUCCUACACCUUCAACAGCCUAUGCAGUCCCCUCAGGAACAGUGCAACCUCAACCCGCUGCUGCAGCAACAGAUUAUGCAGCAAGCGAGCCAACAGCAACUUGUUAGUCCUGAUUCUCAAAAUAUUCAGUCUGUGCUCAGCCCAAGUGCUAUCCAGCAGCAGCUCCACCAACUCCAGCAAAUGCAGCAUGCUCAUAAUGACCAGAAGCAGAAGAUUCAACCAGAUCAACCUUAUCAAGUUCCUACCAGUGCGGUUCUCCCUAGCCCAACGUCAUUACCAAGCCAUUUGCGUGAAAAAUUUGGCUUCUCUGAUCCCAAUGUG